Molecule: ribosomal RNA, 502 nt
Filed under: uncultured Glomeromycotina
Lineage: Eukaryota; Fungi; Glomeromycota
Description: partial small subunit ribosomal RNA
Rfam family: Eukaryotic small subunit ribosomal RNA
Source: RNAcentral
CCAAUAGCGUAUAUUAAAGUUGUUGCAGUUAAAAAGCUCGUAGUUGAACCUUAGGCCCGUGCGGGUGGUCCGUCCUCUGGGCGAGCACUGCUCCGUCGCGGGUCUCACCUUCUGGCGAGCGUGGAUGCCAUUCAGUUGGUGUCCGCGGGAACCAGGACCUUUACCUUGAAAAACUUAGAGUGCUCAAAGCGGGCUUUUAAGCUUGAAUCCAUUAGCAGGGAAUAAUGAAAUAGGACGGCGGUUCUAUUUUGUUGGUUUCCGGGACAGUCGUAAUGAUUAAUAGGGAUAGUUGGGGGCAUUCGUAUUCAAUUGUCAGAGGUGAAAUUCUUGGAUUUAUUGAAGACGAACUACUGCGAAAGCAUUUGCCAAGGAUGUUUUCAUUAAUCAAGAACGAAAGUUGGGGGAUCGAAGACGAUCAGAUACCGUCGUAGUCUCAACCAUAAACUAUGCCGACUGGGAAUCGGGCGAUGUUAUUUUUUUGUGACUCGCUCGGCGCCCCGAG